RNAcentral lists this microRNA precursor (122 nucleotides) under Gossypium arboreum. RNAcentral's name for it is "MIR7504 microRNA precursor family". It matches the Rfam family "MIR7504 microRNA precursor family". The record is from Rfam by way of RNAcentral. Lineage: Eukaryota; Viridiplantae; Streptophyta; Magnoliopsida; Malvales; Malvaceae.
AAUAAUUUAAUGUCACAUUAGUAUUUUUAUUCUGAAUUUCAGCAUUUUCAGCUUAAAAACAUAAAAUUCAAAUGAAAAUAUUGAAAUUCAGGAUAAAAUUACUGAUAUGACAUUAAACUAUU